GGGCUUGCUUUGGCAGCCCAUAUACUAAAAUUGGAUACAUAGAGAGAAGAUUAGCACAGUCCACAUGCAAAGGUGCCACACAAAUUAAAAAAAAAUUCUGUAUUUUU
Small nuclear RNA from Cercocebus atys (sooty mangabey), 107 nucleotides. The record is from Ensembl. NCBI's taxonomy places the organism in Eukaryota, Metazoa, Chordata, Mammalia, Primates, Cercopithecidae.